CUUGCAGCACAGAAUGUCUGUUAUGAGGAAGAUCAUAUUAGUAGUUUAGUUUAUCGACUGAGACUUGACCAGUUUAUUUUUUCUUUUGGACCUUUUGGUAUUUGUUUAGAUAUGCAGAUAUUAGUAUAAGUCCCUAGCUGUGUAUCUACAGAAACUUUGUUGUUUUCGAAUAAAACCUGAGGAACUUUCAGAUGAGGAACACUUUCAAAUCCCUUUUAGAGGAGAAGCAGGUGUUUCACCUGUGCACUGCGGCCCGUUGCAGCUGCUCCCUCAUCCACAGAGCAUCGCUGACGGCAGAGUCGUCCAGGGACAGGAACAGCACCUGUGUGCUAGCGGGCAGGUCCCGAACCAGGCUGGACAGGGACGACUCCGAGCUCCACAGACACUCCAAGAAGCCAGACUUGUUGGUGAAGGCGUGUAUGAGCAGGGACCCGGGCACAGCUCCGGGCUGGUACGACAACUCUCCAGCCAGGGUGGGGACCGUGAACGCAGCGGCGAGGUCCCCCGGUUCUGGUCCGGAGGCUGGUUCUGGACCGGAGGCUUUUGUUGAUCCCCAGCUACCGAAGAAUCCCUGGACCUGCUCAUCUUCUGUCACUGUCGUCCGGAACCUCUUCGUGGCUCCAGUCACCUGAGCCGCCACAAGAAGAAGGCACCACAACAACGGAGACCGUGAACGCAUCAAACCCAUUUUCCUGCUCACAGCGAGUGACCCUGAACUCAGCAGCAGCGCACCUGCAUGUUUUAAACAGAGUUUAACCUAAUUUCAAUUGCCUCGCUGCUGUUACGACGUGUCAUUGGGUGUUUCAUUAAUUUCCUAAAUUCCCCUAAACAUUUAAGCCGGAGGCGGCGCGUGCCUCGAGCUACGGCGGCCCCGUGGGGACAAGAAGCCUCGGAGCGCGCACAGCGACUGCUCUUUGACUACUAACCAACUUCUACUGGCCGCCAAACCGAUCCGGCUUUUUGACAUUUGGGUUGAACCACACUGACCUUUAACGCUAAGAGCACAAAUAAAGUUGUUAGCGUUAAAUAAAAAGCAAAUAAAGCAGCCAUUCUGAAUCUGAACUUAAUAAGACUGCUUUAAACAGAGAAAUAAAUGUAAAAACAGCGCCCAGAAGUUUGAAACUUUAUACACAAACCAACUUGUUAACCUUUUCAUGGAAAUGAAAAUAUAAGAUAUAUAUUAACAUAUAUAUAUAUAUAAAACAGAAAAAAUAUGAAGGCACCGCUUGCCGCCGUAUAGCUGACGUUAAGAGAAGCGGGUGCUCAUUUUUUUUGGGACAUAUGAACGCCACAUGACGACUAUGCAAGUCUGACAUGUUCAGUGUGACCGUUGAACCCACUUGCAACAAUAAUUAUAACAAAUGUCAAAAUGGAGCCGUCUGACUCACGAAAUAAUUGUACGAGGCAAGCAUGGACACACAUCAUCCAGUCCAGCUGUGCGUAAAAGCGCCGCGCGCGCACACGGAGCGUUGAGGAUCCUCAAUGCGAUGGCGCAUCCUUAGAGAAGACGCGCUGCUUCCAAUCCAGCAGAGGUGUAGACUGCCUGCACGCAAGCAUUUCUUACACCUUGUUAAUAAAAAUCCAGCUUUAUGUUUUACGAAAAGCUAUUUGGCUGAAACUACGCGCGACUUUCAACGAUGGAGAUAAUUAAGUUUGUUUUAAUACUUGCGCUGAUUCUGGGAAACGUUUUUUGUCAAGACGUGGACGUUGACAACUGGAGAGAGAACAAGUGGCCAAAUUCUGACACUAUUCAAAACAUAUUAAUAAGACUGACCAGAAAACCGGGACCACGUCAGUAUCUUGGACUGAUGGGGAAGAAAAACUCCGCGAAAACGCAGAGGGCGCGUAAACGGUAUAAAUUUCAAACCUUUGUGGGUCUGAUGGGUAAAAGAAGCUUCGAGGAUGAAGGAGCUCUGAGAGCUUCGCACAGAUCUGACGAUUACUGAGGAAACUACAUUGAUUUUUCUUAAUACUUGUUUUGAGUGUGUGUUCAUAAAACUGUUAGUUUGGUGAAAGAGGUUGAGUUUUAUGGUAAUUGGUGACAUCUAGUGGAUGCAUACGGAGUAUGACAAUCGUCCUAGAACAAACUCAAAAUCACUCCUCCAUAUCAUCACAGGUUUAUUAAGUGACUUUGUACAAUACAAAUGAAAAAUAAAUUUAAAAAUACAGAGAUGGAGUACAUAGCCAAAGCAAACUGUGGUG
Betta splendens (Siamese fighting fish) is the source of this 2202-nucleotide RNA transcript. It is a transcript of the gene named protachykinin, with no coding region annotated. The record is from RefSeq and is a predicted model, not a curated record. The transcript is spliced from 6 exons. NCBI's taxonomy places the organism in Eukaryota, Metazoa, Chordata, Actinopteri, Anabantiformes, Osphronemidae.